Molecule: long non-coding RNA, 583 nt
Filed under: Lotus japonicus
Lineage: Eukaryota; Viridiplantae; Streptophyta; Magnoliopsida; Fabales; Fabaceae
Description: long non-coding RNA (LJAP_LNC001964)
Source: RNAcentral
CCCAGACACCAUUUCAACAGCCAUUUCUCCUACAUAGUAAAUAUCAAAGAAUGUAAAAUCAGCAGCCUUUCAAAAAAAAAUUAGUUCUAUAAUUUAUGUAGGAGGAAAAAAGAGAACCAUUCUUACAAUGGGGAUGGACAACUCCAUAACAGUAAAAAAACACAUGCAUAAAAAACAUCAAUUCAAUUCUAACCCAGAAAAUGCAAGCAUGGGCGUCAGUUCAAAUGAAUCAAAGUCCCUCAAAUUCGGCCUGUCCAGAGCAGAACUGCAAGUAAAUUAAAAAUGAAAGAGAAGAUGAGACCCUAAAUCACAUAAUAAGGUUGAUUGAGAUGAACAAAUGAAAGAUAAAAAGAAGAACAAUCAAAGAGUUGCAGAUAAAAAAACCUAACACCAUGAUAAACCCAGCCAAGGCGCACCGCAGCGGCGAAGCCACAAAUCCAAGGCGGAAGCAGCGGUGCGGUCAGCAUCGGCGGCAGUUCCAAAUCCAACGGUGAGAUGAAUCUAGUGAACAACAGCGACAAAGGAAUUAAAUGAGGCAGUAGGCAGAGAGAAUAAAUGGAAGACGUACAACAGAACUAAAACC